This 227-nucleotide unclassified non-coding RNA is filed under the name Hevea brasiliensis (rubber tree). The record is from RNAcentral. Lineage: Eukaryota; Viridiplantae; Streptophyta; Magnoliopsida; Malpighiales; Euphorbiaceae.
UUCAAUAGGUGCAAGUGCUAGCGCAUCCUCUGCAUUUGGAGCAAUGCCGACACCAGAACUCAAGUUAUGGGCAGGUUGGGUGGCAGCAGGUUGAGGACCUUCAAUAGCCAAUGGACCUAAAAGAUCUCCCAGGACAUCAGGUGAAGGUACUGAAGGAGGUUGAGGAUCCACAACAGUCAAAGUUCCAUCUGGUUCAGACGCCCUUUGAUCCGCUAAGUUGCGAUCCG